Molecule: ribosomal RNA, 492 nt
Filed under: uncultured bacterium
Lineage: Bacteria
Description: bacterial SSU rRNA
Rfam family: Bacterial small subunit ribosomal RNA
Source: RNAcentral
AAAUGAAUAGACGGGGGCCCGCACAAGCGGAGGAACAUGUGGUUUAAUUCGAUGAUACGCGAGGAACCUUACCCGGGCUUAAAUUGCAACUGACGGAACCGGAAACGGUUCUUUCUUCGGACAGUUGUGAAGGUGCUGCAUGGUUGUCGUCAGCUCGUGCCGUGAGGUGUCGGCUUAAGUGCCAUAACGAGCGCAACCCUUACGGGUAGUUACCAUCAGGUUAUGCUGGGGACUCUACCCGGACUGCCGUCGUAAGAUGUGAGGAAGGUGGGGAUGACGUCAAAUCAGCACGGCCCUUACGUCCGGGGCUACACACGUGUUACAAUGGGGGGUACAGAAGGCAGCUACACGGCGACGUGGUGCUAAUCCCAAAAGCCUCUCUCAGUUCGGAUUGGAGUCUGCAACCCGACUCCAUGAAGCUGGAUUCGCUAGUAAUCGCGCAUCAGCCACGGCGCGGUGAAUACGUUCCCGGGCCUUGUACACACCGCCCGU